Long non-coding RNA from Selaginella moellendorffii, 161 nucleotides. RefSeq lists it as uncharacterized. The record is from RefSeq and is a predicted model, not a curated record. Lineage: Eukaryota; Viridiplantae; Streptophyta; Lycopodiopsida; Selaginellales; Selaginellaceae. The transcript is spliced from 2 exons.
ACCCGUUCGUGGAAAGGAACUUUGGAGACUGGGCUCCCGUGGAAGAGCUUCUCAGCGUAUGUUCUUCGUUUCAGCCGAAGACCGUGGAUAAGAGUCAAGACUGAGUGAUCGAUCUGUAAGAUUUUCUGUGAUUUAUACGAGCGUGUGUACAUUACUAUCGA